This 72-nucleotide transfer RNA is filed under the name Heterocephalus glaber (naked mole-rat). It matches the Rfam family "tRNA". Rfam says of the family: Transfer RNA (tRNA) molecules are approximately 80 nucleotides in length. Their secondary structure includes four short double-helical elements and three loops (D, anti-codon, and T loops). The record is from Rfam by way of RNAcentral. Lineage: Eukaryota; Metazoa; Chordata; Mammalia; Rodentia; Bathyergidae.
GGAGGUAUAGCUCAGUGGUAGAGCACUUGCUUAGCAUGCACAGGGCUCUGGGUUCAAUUGCCAGCACCCCCC